RNAcentral lists this ribosomal RNA (426 nucleotides) under uncultured bacterium. Its description in RNAcentral is "partial 16S ribosomal RNA". It matches the Rfam family "Bacterial small subunit ribosomal RNA", at positions 354 to 796 of the family's 1533-position model. The record is from RNAcentral.
GUGAGGAAUUUUCCGCAAUGGGCGAAAGCCUGACGGAGCAAUGCCGCGUGAAGGAUGAAGGCCUAUGGGUUGUAAACUUCUUUUCUCAGAAAAGAAUUAUGACGGUAUCUGAGGAAUAAGCAUCGGCUAACUCUGUGCCAGCAGCCGCGGUAAGACAGAGGAUGCAAGCGUUAUUUGGAAUGAUUGGGCGUAAAGCGUCUGUAGGUUGUUUAAAAAGUAUUCUGUCAAAGAUUAGGGCUUAACCCUAGAUAGGCAGAAUAAACUUUUAAGCUAGAGUUUGGUAGAGGCAGAGGGAAUUCCCGGUGGAGCGGUGAAAUGCGUAGAUAUCGGGAGGAACACCAAAGGCGAAGGCACUCUGCUGGGCCAAUACUAACACUGAGAGACGAAAGCGAGGGGAGCAAAUGGGAUUAGAAACCCGGGUAGUCC